This 517-nucleotide ribosomal RNA is filed under the name uncultured bacterium. RNAcentral's name for it is "bacterial SSU rRNA". It matches the Rfam family "Bacterial small subunit ribosomal RNA", at positions 501 to 1016 of the family's 1533-position model. The record is from RNAcentral.
CUACGUGCCAGCAGCCGCGGUAAUACGUAGGUCCCGAGCGUUGUCCGGAUUUAUUGGGCGUAAAGCGAGCGCAGGCGGUUAGAUAAGUCUGAAGUUAAAGGCUGUGGCUUAACCAUAGUACGCUUUGGAAACCGUUUAACUUGAGUGCAGAAGGGGAGAGUGGAAUUCCAUGUGUAGCGGUGAAAUGCGUAGAUAUAUGGAGGAACACCGGUGGCGAAAGCGGCUCUCUGGUCUGUAACUGACGCUGAGGCUCGAAAGCGUGGGGAGCGAACAGGAUUAGAUACCCUGGUAGUCCACGCCGUAAACGAUGAGUGCUAGGUGUUAGGUCCUUUCCGGGACUUAGUGCCGCAGCUAACGCAUUAAGCACUCCGCCUGGGGAGUACGACCGCAAGGUUGAAACUCAAAGGAAUUGACGGGGGCCCGCACAAGCGGUGGAGCAUGUGGUUUAAUUCGAAGCAACGCGAAGAACCUUACCAGGUCUUGACAUCCCGAUGCCCGCUCUAGAGAUAGAGCUUUA